UACGGGGGGGGCAAGCGUUGUUCGGAAUUACUGGGCGUAAAGGGCUCGUAGGCGGCCAACUAAGUCAGACGUGAAAUCCCCAGGCUCAACCUGGGAACUGCGUCUGAUACUGGAUGGCUUGAAUUCGGGAGAGGGAUGCAGAAUUCCAGGUGUAGCGGUGAAAUGCGCAGAUAUCAGGAGGAACACCGGUGGCGAAGGCGGUCAUCUGGGCUACAACUGACGCUGAUGCACGAAAGCGUGGGGAGCAAACAGG
This 253-nucleotide ribosomal RNA is filed under the name uncultured bacterium. RNAcentral describes it as "partial 16S ribosomal RNA". It matches the Rfam family "Bacterial small subunit ribosomal RNA", at positions 524 to 776 of the family's 1533-position model. The record is from RNAcentral.